RNAcentral lists this ribosomal RNA (489 nucleotides) under uncultured bacterium. RNAcentral's name for it is "partial 16S ribosomal RNA". It matches the Rfam family "Bacterial small subunit ribosomal RNA", at positions 30 to 506 of the family's 1533-position model. The record is from RNAcentral.
UGAACGCUAGCUACAGGCUUAACACAUGCAAGUCGAGGGGCAGCGGUAUCGAAAGCUUGCUUUCGGUAGCCGGCGACCGGCGCACGGGUGAGUAACGCGUAUCGAACCUGCCUCAUACUCGGGAAUAGCCUUGCGAAAGUAAGAUUAAUGCCCGGUGUUUUCAGAGUCCCGCAUGAGGCUUUGAACAAAGAUUUAUCGGUAUGAGAUGGCGAUGCGUCCCAUUAGCUUGUUGGCGGGGUAACGGCCCACCAAGGCAUCGAUGGGUAGGGGUUCUGAGAGGAAGGUCCCCCACAUUGGAACUGAGACACGGUCCAAACUCCUACGGGAGGCAGCAGUGAGGAAUAUUGGUCAAUGGGCGGAAGCCUGAACCAGCCAAGUAGCGUGCAGGAAGACGGCCCUCCGGGUUGUAAACUGCUUUUAGUUGGGAAUAAAACGGGGCUCGUGAGCCCCCUUGCAUGUACCAUCAGAAAAAGGACCGGCUAAUUCCGU